UCGUAUAACUGAGGUGUUAGGUGGCUGUCGCUGACUUUUGAAAAAGGUCGUGCACGCCCCUGCACUCUCAUACAAUCCAUCUCACCCCUUUUGUGCAUCACCGCGUGAGGCCCCCCCUCUUUUUGAAAAAGGAAAAGGGAGGGUUCAUGUUUUUCUUUUACACAAACACCUUUUUAAUGCAUGUCUAGAAUGUCUUUACUAUUUGCACUCAUAUGCAAUCAAUA
Molecule: unclassified non-coding RNA, 224 nt
Filed under: uncultured Russula
Lineage: Eukaryota; Fungi; Basidiomycota; Agaricomycetes; Russulales; Russulaceae
Description: sequence contains ITS1
Source: RNAcentral